This 74-nucleotide transfer RNA is filed under the name Aequorivita sp. RNAcentral describes it as "tRNA-Arg". It matches the Rfam family "tRNA". Rfam says of the family: Transfer RNA (tRNA) molecules are approximately 80 nucleotides in length. The record is from RNAcentral. Lineage: Bacteria; Pseudomonadati; Bacteroidota; Flavobacteriia; Flavobacteriales; Flavobacteriaceae. RNAcentral also lists the same sequence under 4 other names.
GGCCGCGUGGCGCAACUGAAUAGCGCAUCAGAUUUCGGCUCUGAGGGUUGCAGGUUUGAAUCCUGCCGCGGUCA